CGAGCCCGCCGGAACGGGGGGCGGGCGAGGGGACAGAAGGAAAGCCCGCCGGAGGGGGGAGGAUCCGAGGAAAUGGCAGCGGCUCAGGAUAUAGCACUUUCCUCGAGUCCAAAGUUUCCUGACUGCUUGGAAGUUCUGACAAUAUACUUCUUCCUGUGCCAAUUUGGAUAAUCCAAACUUUUUGACUUGACCCAUCAAGGACAAUUAGAUGUUGCAAAAGAAAUCAAAUAACUUCCCUGUAUUG
Long non-coding RNA from Gopherus flavomarginatus (Mexican gopher tortoise), 244 nucleotides. RefSeq lists it as uncharacterized. The record is from RefSeq and is a predicted model, not a curated record. The transcript has 3 exons. Lineage: Eukaryota; Metazoa; Chordata; Testudines; Testudinidae.